Non-coding RNA from Saimiri boliviensis boliviensis (Bolivian squirrel monkey), 846 nucleotides. The record is from RefSeq and is a predicted model, not a curated record. NCBI's taxonomy places the organism in Eukaryota, Metazoa, Chordata, Mammalia, Primates, Cebidae.
CUCCCUGGCAGCUGCGCGCCCCGUCUCCUCCUUUCGCGCUUGCGCGCGCCUUCUCCGCACCUUCUCCGCUCCCCCUGCCUCGCUGCUUUAGGAGCAGUUGGGCGGCGGGCCAGUCGGGGCCGGUCUUGGAGCAAGCUACCGAGCUGUUGGGGCGCUGUGGCGAUGGUGGAGUCAGCGGCAGCGGCGGCGGAGCGGGAGAAUGAGUUGGACCCCGAGCACCGGGCCCUCUUCAACCUGGGGCCCUGGGUGAAGUGCUCUGCCGCCCUUGCUUCCAGAAUCCUUGCCCAGAGUCCAGUGCCUACUUCCUGUCCAGGAUCACCUUCUGGUGGAUCACAGGGUUGAUUGUCCAGGGCUACCACCAGCCCCUGGAGAGCAGUGGCCUCUGGUCCUUAAACAAGGAGGAUUUGUCCUCGGAACAAGUCUUGCCUGUUUUGGUAAAGAACUAGAAGAAAAAAUGCACCAAGUCUAGGAAAUAAGUUGGAUGACAAGUAUUUGUUCAGUACCUGCUGUGCACUGUUUAUAAUUAUAUACUGAGGAUAUAGCAGCCCACCUGGAGCUGACAUUCUAGUGGGGAAAGAAAAUGCUUGGGAACCUGGAGGCUAUGCCCUUUCCUUCCUGCGGUUCCUUACAUCCUGGUUCUGGGAAGUGAGCUUCACAUGUCAGAGAUACUGCUAUCUGGGCUAGGUUUUACCCAUUGCUGCUGGUACAGGAUGCUGGCUCAGGCCAAACAGCUUGAGAACUUCCUGAAGCAUACACAAGUUUCAAUACCGAAUUGAUCAGGUUGAAGAAAGGAUGUAAGAGAUUAAAGAUCAACUCAAUGAAAUAAAGCAAGAAGGCAAGAUUAGA